AUAAGUAACACCGUCCUAUCUAUCUGUUCGUGGAAUGUAAGAGGACUUGGUGAUGUAUCCAAAUGUGUUGACAUUCUAUCAGACUUAAUCAGCAUUAGUCCACACUGUGCACUCCUACAGGAAUCCAAGCUACACGAAAUUACCGAACGAAAAUUCCAGUCCUUCCUGCCAAGAUCUCUAGACCAAAAAAUCUUUCUUCCGGCCGACGGUUCGGCAGGCGGAACCGUCUCAGCGUUCAACUCCGGCUACUUUACUGUGCUCUCCCACAUUCACUAUCACUAUGCCACCUCUAUCAAACUCACAUCUCUCGCACACCCACACCCCUUCGUCAUCACUAACAUCUAUGCACCCGCAUGUCAUAACCUCAAACAAGCCUUUCUUGACGAGCUCAAAACUAUCAAAGUAGACGACCACACGCCUUGGCUAAUAGUUGGAGACUUCAACCUUCUCCGGUUCUCACAUGAAAAAAACAACCAAAAUUUUCACCAACGAGAGGCUGAUGCUUUCAACAACACGAUCAAUGAACUAGCGCUUCUCGAACUACCACUGCUAGAUAGAAGGUUUACGUGGUCCAAUAAACGAUCUACGCCAACCUUAGAACGUCUAGACAGAGCCUUUUUUAACCUGUCCUGGAACACCUGCUUCCCCAACACCACCCUAUCCUUACUACCACGCAUCACAUCCGAUCAC
RNAcentral lists this ribosomal RNA (690 nucleotides) under Triticum aestivum (bread wheat). RNAcentral describes it as "partial small subunit ribosomal RNA". Lineage: Eukaryota; Viridiplantae; Streptophyta; Magnoliopsida; Poales; Poaceae. The record is from RNAcentral.